RNAcentral lists this ribosomal RNA (247 nucleotides) under uncultured bacterium. RNAcentral describes it as "partial 16S ribosomal RNA". It matches the Rfam family "Bacterial small subunit ribosomal RNA", at positions 108 to 353 of the family's 1533-position model. The record is from RNAcentral.
GAGUAACGCGUGAGUAACCUGCCUUAUACAGGGGGAUAACAGUCAGAAAUGGCUGCUAAUACCGCAUAAGCGCACAGAGCUGCAUGGCUCAGUGUGAAAAACUCCGGUGGUAUAAGAUGGACCCGCGUUGGAUUAGCUUGUUGGUGGGGUAACGGCCCACCAAGGCGACGAUCCAUAGCCGGCCUGAGAGGGUGAACGGCCACAUUGGGACUGAGACACGGCCCAGACUCCUACGGGAGGCAGCAUG